AGUUACCUACGGGGGGCAGCAGUGAGGAAUAUUGGUCAAUGGUCGGGAGACUGAACCAGCCAAGCCGCGUGAGGGAGGAAGGUACAGAGUAUCGUAAACCUCUUUUGUCAGGGAACAAAGACUGGGACGCGUCCCCGGAUGAGUGUACCUGAAGAAAAAGCAUCGGCUAACUCCGUGCCAGCAGCCGCGGUAAUACGGAGGAUGCGAGCGUUAUCCGGAUUUAUUGGGUUUAAAGGGUGCGUAGGCGGGUUAUCAAGUCAGCGGUAAAAUCGUG
RNAcentral lists this ribosomal RNA (274 nucleotides) under uncultured bacterium. Its description in RNAcentral is "partial 16S ribosomal RNA". It matches the Rfam family "Bacterial small subunit ribosomal RNA", at positions 333 to 604 of the family's 1533-position model. The record is from RNAcentral.